RNAcentral lists this ribosomal RNA (274 nucleotides) under uncultured bacterium. Its description in RNAcentral is "partial 16S ribosomal RNA". It matches the Rfam family "Bacterial small subunit ribosomal RNA", at positions 523 to 796 of the family's 1533-position model. The record is from RNAcentral.
AUACGGAGGGUGCAAGCGUUAAUCGGAAUUACUGGGCGUAAAGCGCGCGUAGGCGGUUUAGUAAGUCGGAUGUGAAAGCCCUGGGCUCAACCUGGGAAUUGCAUUCGAUACUGCUUGACUAGAGUAUGGUAGAGGGAAGUGGAAUUUCCGGUGUAGCGGUGAAAUGCGUAGAUAUCGGAAGGAACACCAGUGGCGAAGGCGACUUCCUGGGCCAAUACUGACGCUGAGGUGCGAAAGCGUGGGGAGCAAACGGGAUUAGAAACCCGGGUAGUCC